UAAUGAUCAUUAUUGAAUGCCUCAUGGUGACUUGAAGAUGAAGGACAACAAUAAAAACAUUCCAUAUUUGGGUUUUAACACGUAUUGAUAUUAAAAUUGUCUCACGUACAGUUGCUCCAUAUCAUGUUCGACAAUCACUUUCAGUUUCUAAAACAUGUCACCUAUGAAAACUCUCGAGAUCGUUUACGAUGAAAGUAAAGAUAAUUAUCUUCAUUAUGAUUAUUUUUUCUAAAUGAUGUACAUGUAAUAAUAAAAAUAGAAUAUAAAACAACUAUUUUGAGGAAAAGAAACGUUAACUUUAAAUCAUUUCCCAUGUUCCGACCGUCGACGAUUUGUUGUAAGAACUUGUUACCUUGUUUAGAUUUCUAAAAAUAACCUGGUUUGAGGAAUACCCAAAUACGGGUCAUGCAUUGUGUGCAUUAUCAAACAAUGAACAUUCAUUGUAAUUAAGUUGGCAUCUUCUUCUUGUAUAAAUAAAUGAAAAAAAAAAAAUAUUUCAAUUACCUAAAAUCUUUAAUUUUCAUAUACCGCA
Molecule: long non-coding RNA, 532 nt
Filed under: Mytilus galloprovincialis (Mediterranean mussel)
Lineage: Eukaryota; Metazoa; Mollusca; Bivalvia; Mytilida; Mytilidae
Source: RNAcentral